RNAcentral lists this ribosomal RNA (477 nucleotides) under uncultured bacterium. RNAcentral describes it as "partial 16S ribosomal RNA". It matches the Rfam family "Bacterial small subunit ribosomal RNA", at positions 28 to 507 of the family's 1533-position model. The record is from RNAcentral.
GAUUAACGCUGGCGUCGUGCAUAACACAUGCAAGUCGAACUAUGAAACUUAGUAGACUUCUUCGGAAAGACAUUAAGCGGAUUAGUGGCGAACGGGUGAGUAACGCGUGAGUAACCUGCCUUACACAAGGGGAUAGCCUUUGGAAACGAAGAAUAAUACCCUAUAAAACCAUAAAAGCACAUGCUAGAAUGGUCAAAGUGAUAGCGGUGUAAGAUGGACUUGCGUCUGAUUAGCUAGUUGGUGAGAUAAAAGCUCACCAAGGCAACGAUCAGUAGCCGGCUUGAGAGAGUGUACGGCCACAUUGGGACUGAGACACGGCCCAGACUCCUACGGGAGGCAGCAGUGGGGAAUUUUGCACAAUGGGGGAAACCCUGAUGCAGCGACGCCGCGUGAUUUAGAAGGCCUUCGGGUUGUAAAAAUCUUUUGUAUAGGAAGAAAAUGACAGUACUAUACGAAUAAGGUCCGGCUAAUUACGUG